This 941-nucleotide long non-coding RNA is filed under the name Canis lupus familiaris (dog). RNAcentral describes it as "lncRNA (ENSCAFG00040016556.1)". The record is from RNAcentral. Lineage: Eukaryota; Metazoa; Chordata; Mammalia; Carnivora; Canidae.
AUGAAGACUUUUUCAGCACCGCCACUAACUUCCGUGCUGACAGCCAGUGAGGAAGAGCCGAGGGAAGACGGAUGGCUUCUGCACGUAUUUGCAGCUAGAGUAUUCAGAGCAAGUGGAUGCUUUGGCCCAAGAGAAAGAGGUUUCCUUCCAGCUGCCUGCUGCGCUGCAAGGGCUGUCAUAUGGGGGUCCCGUGCUGCGCAUUCUCUCUAUGCCUGACGACACCGUAAUCAUGAUCAGAGAAGAUGGAGCGAUUUAUUUCUGGUCCCUGCAGCUGAAGUUGAAAAGAAGAAAGAGAGUUUUUGUAUGUGAUUUUCAUUUGAUAAGGAUGCUGAGUGCUCCAGUUUGAUUUUAUUUGCUAUUUUAAACUGCUCUUCAAGUGGCAUGAUUACAGAAAUUGUGUCCUUGAAUGUAAUAUAUUCAUGUUGCCUUUUGCUAGUCUAUAGAAUGCAAAUAAAAUAUGAUCUCUAUAUGUAGUACAAGAUAAUGCUUCAUUUUGCUCCUCAAAUCAGAUGGAGUAAUGGACUACAUAUGACUCCAUCAUGUAAUUUAUCAUAUGUCUUAAUGAAUGACAAAUGGAAGAAAAUUUUCUGUUGUUUUUUUUCCUGUUAAUAAUUAUUUCAAUUUAGGCAGCCAUGCUAAGUUUGUCUUCUUCAAUCAGAAAUUCAGAAGGCAAAAGGCAUUUGGGAAGUAGACUUAGGAAUAAAAAUGCCUGACUGAUUCCAGAAUAUAUCCUGUCUUUAAAGUCAUUUUUUUAUUAUUAUCUCAUUCAACAAUAGUUGAGCCCCUGACAUAGCCGAGGCUCUCUGCUAGGUACUGCAGACAUAGAAACCCAUCUCAGCAUUCCAGAAACUUAUCGUCUAUACUAGAAGUUACAGCUAUCCUAAAUCCCUCAGGCUGCCAAAUAAACCUUCCCUAGAGAGAGGAAUAAAGGUAGCUCUUCU